GGAUAUAGCUCAGUGGUAGAGUGCCUGCUUAGCAUGCUUGAGGUCCUGAGUUCAAUCCCUAGUACCUCCA
This 70-nucleotide transfer RNA is filed under the name Camelus bactrianus (Bactrian camel). It matches the Rfam family "tRNA". Rfam says of the family: Transfer RNA (tRNA) molecules are approximately 80 nucleotides in length. Lineage: Eukaryota; Metazoa; Chordata; Mammalia; Artiodactyla; Camelidae. RNAcentral also lists the same sequence under 2 other names. The record is from Rfam by way of RNAcentral.